Molecule: small RNA, 53 nt
Filed under: Tranquillimonas rosea
Lineage: Bacteria; Pseudomonadati; Pseudomonadota; Alphaproteobacteria; Rhodobacterales; Roseobacteraceae
Description: Roseivivax sp. BH87090 ffh sRNA
Rfam family: ffh sRNA
Source: Rfam by way of RNAcentral
AUAGGCCGGGAUCGCCCCCCGCCAGCGAGGAUUCGCCCGCGGGGGCAUUUUUG